AUUGAACGCUGGCGGCAUGCCUUACACAUGCAAGUCGAACGGCAGCGCGGACUUCGGUCUGGCGGCGAGUGGCGAACGGGUGAGUAAUACAUCGGAACGUACCCUGUUGUGGGGGAUAACUAGUCGAAAGAUUAGCUAAUACCGCAUACGACCUGAGGGUGAAAGUGGGGGACCGCAAGGCCUCACGCAGCAGGAGCGGCCGAUGACUGAUUAGCUAGUUGGUGGGGUAAAGGCCCACCAAGGCGACGAUCAGUAGCUGGUCUGAGAGGACGAUCAGCCACACUGGGACUGAGACACGGCCCAGUCUCCUACGGGAGGCAGCAGUGGGGAAUUUUGGGCAAUGGGGGCAGCCCUGAUCCAGCAAUGCCGCGUGUGUGAAGAAGGCCUUCGGGUUGUAAAGCACUUUUGUCCGGAAAGAAAUCGCGCUGGUUAAUACCUGGAGUGGAUGACGGUACCGGAAGAAUAAGCUCCGGCUAACUACGUG
Molecule: ribosomal RNA, 484 nt
Filed under: uncultured bacterium
Lineage: Bacteria
Description: partial 16S ribosomal RNA
Rfam family: Bacterial small subunit ribosomal RNA
Source: RNAcentral